CAAGGCGACGACGGGUAGCUGGUCUGAGAGGACGACCAGCCACACUGGAACUGAGAUACGGUCCAGACUCCUACGGGAGGCAGCAGUGGGGAAUAUUGCGCAAUGGGCGGACGCCUGACGCAGCAACGCCGCGUGCGGGAAGAAGGCUCUCGGGUCGUAAACCGCUUUCAGCAGGGACGAAGCUUCCGGGGUUAAUAGCCUACGGGGUGACGGUACCUGCAGAAGAAGCCCUGGCUAACUACGUGCCAGCAGCCGCGGUAAUACGUAGGGGGCAAGCGUUGUCCGGAUUUAUUGGGCGUAAAGAGCGUGUAGGCGGCUUGGUAGGUCUUGCGUCAAAACCUGAGGCUCAACCUCAGUUCGCGUGGGAAGCCACCUAGCUAGAGUCCGGAAGAGGAGAACGGAAUUCCCAGUGUAGCGGUGAAAUGCGCAGAUAUUGGGAAGAACACCAGUGGCGAAGGCGGUUCUCUGGGACGGUACUGACGCUGAGACGCGAAAGCGUGGGGAGCGAACAGGAUUAGAUACCCUGGUAGUCCACGCCGUAAACGAUGGGCGCUAGGUGUGGGAGGUGUCGACUCCUUCCGUGCCGAAGCUAACGCAUUAAGUACCCCGCCUGGGGAGUACGGCCGCAAGGCUAAAACUCAAAGGAAUUGACGG
This 654-nucleotide ribosomal RNA is filed under the name uncultured bacterium. RNAcentral describes it as "bacterial SSU rRNA". It matches the Rfam family "Bacterial small subunit ribosomal RNA", at positions 269 to 916 of the family's 1533-position model. The record is from RNAcentral.